This 4274-nucleotide long non-coding RNA is filed under the name Sus scrofa (pig). Its description in RNAcentral is "lncRNA (ENSSSCG00040007853.1)". Lineage: Eukaryota; Metazoa; Chordata; Mammalia; Artiodactyla; Suidae. The record is from RNAcentral.
AUCUUUUCAAAGAACCAGCUGUUAGUUUCACUGAUCUUUUUCUUUCUUUUAGUCUCUAUUUCAUUCAUUUCCACUCUGAUCCUUAUUAUUUCCUUCUUCCUACUAACAUGGGCUUUUUUUGGUUCUUUUUCUAGUUCCUUUAGAUGUAAGGUUAGAAUUUUUGAGUUUUUCCUGAUUUUUUCUCUUUCUUAGAUAAAAUGGAUCAUUGGGCAACCAAAUAUGUAGAUGAAAGGUGUUUCUCUUUAUACAAGUAUCACAGCUAGCUAAUAAAUAAAGAAGGAAUUAAACAGUAAUAGAUUAUUACCAUUUUGCAACACAUAAUGUAUUAUAAAAUCUAGACAUCAAUUAUACAUGGUGGGUGGCAUCACAGAAGAGAGAGGGAGAGAGAGGCCCAGACACUUGAUAAAUUUAACACACAAAUUUUAAACUUUUAAACACAAAAAUGUGUCAAAAUAUAAACAACAAACUGCAAAAAAAUUUGUAACAUACAUGCUGGAAAAUAAAAUAAUUUCUUUGACAUUCAAAAAUUCUUAAAAAUCAGUUUGAAAAAAUUAAAUACUCCAAUAACAAACAGAUGAAAACAAAAAGCAUCAGUUCCCAGAAAAAUAAAUAAGGCUAUUUAUUUCAGCUUUGUUUUUAAUAGGGAAGUCUUGGAAAUAAUUAGAAUACAUGUUCAUCAGUGAUAAAAAGGAAAAACAAGAAGAUAGAGAGGAAUGUAAAAUUAAAAUAUGUGCACACUAUUGUAUAUGGAAUAGAUGUUCAACAGGGACCUGCUAUAUAGCAUAGAGAAUGCUACCCAACAUUCUGUGAUAACCCAUAUGGGAAAAGAAUCUAGAAAAGAAUGGAUAUGUGCAUGUAUAACUGAAUCACUUUGUUGUACAGCAGAAAUUACUGCAACAUUGUAAAUCAAUUGUACCUCAAUAAAGUUUUAAAAAAUGAGGAAAAGAGGCAUAUCAACCAACCACAAUGUGUGGACAUUAUUCAAAUGAUGACUCAAAUGAAAAUAUUUUUAAAAAAGAAAUGAUAUUUAUGAAACAAUUGGAAAGUUGAACACUGACUGAAUAUUUGAAAAUAAGGAAUUAGUGUUAAUUUUUUUAUCUGAUGUUUAUGUUUUAAAAAGUCCUUAUAUUUCAGAGAGUCAUACUGAAAUAUUUAUGGAUGAAAUGAUAUGAUAUCUUAAAUUUCCUCCAAAAUAAAUAAGGGAGAGAGAAGUGAGCCAUGAAUGGGCCAUGAAUGGCCAUAAGUUGAUAGCAUGGCUGGAGUUGGGUGCUGAGUACACACAGAUUCAUAAAAUUAUUCUGUAUACUUUAUUGUAUCAAAUUCUCAUGAUAAAAUGGAGUUUUUAAUUUUGUAGGAAAAAAAGAAUAAGCCACAAGAAGAGACAGUAUAGCUUGAUUUUUAGCAACACAGGUUUCAGAGUCCACUGCCUAAAUUCAAAUUUUAGCUCCAUGGAGCAAAUACCUGAGAAAAGACUUUCUCGUUUUUCUGAUCUGUAAUAAUACCCAUUUCAUUGGAUUGUCCUGAAGAUGACCUUGAGAUAACACCCUAAAAUUGGCAGACAGAAUGCCAUUGACUUUAGUUCAGAAAAUCAUAACAUAGAUGCAAUUCUUCCUAUUAUGUAUAGUAUUAGUUCUAAAUUGUUCCCACACCCUCUCUAUCAGCAUUAGUAAUCAGAAUUCCAGAACAAGAGUACUAUUUUGAAAAUUCCACACAGAGACUCUAGUAUGCUUGCCACAGAGGGUCAUGAUCCUUCAGAAUAUGUUUCUUAGAGACAUCCACAUCACAAGAAGCCAACAGCCAGCACCAACUUGCCAAUCAUGUGAGUGAGCCAACUUGGAAGUACAUCUUCCAGCCCUAGUUAUGUCUUCACAUGGCUGCUACCUCAGUUGGCAACUGACUCAACCUGAUUAGAAACCGUGACCCAGAACAGCUAAGACACACCUGAAUUCCUGACCAGCAAAAAUAAAAAAUGCUACAAGUGAUAAUAAAUGUCAUAUAAAGCCACUAAAGUUUGGAACAAUUUGUUAUACAGUAAUGGAUAACUAAUAAGAUAUAUAAAGAUAUGUGAACAUUAAGAUUCACUGGUAAAUAUAAAUUCAGCUAUAAAAUGCUAUUCUAGUUUGCAUAAUUCUCAGAAAAAAAAUGUUCUGGAAUGAACUUCAGAGAAGUUCCUUUACAAAAUCAGCGGUGGUCAUGGUUAAUAUAUGGACCAAUUAACACAGAUAAAGGACUGGUUAAAAAAAAAUGCUUUUCUUUCUUGGGAUAUAUUAUUUAUUCACUUGUCUAAAAACAAAGUAUGCUUUCUGAAAAAUAAACAUCUGAUUAAAAAUUAUCUAAUGUAAAGCAUAAGAUGUAAUAUAAAUUGUUAGCAACAAACUGCUCCUCAUAGCAUGUAUAAUUUUGGUUUGUGGUCAAUUUUUUUUUUCUCAAGUGAUCUUAGUAUUCUUGUUGGAACCAUCUGGCAAUACUAUUUCCAAACAUGCAUUGGAAGUUCCAAUAUGGAACUUUGCAUGGAGCUAUGCAAAUAAGGUCAGGGAUAGUUAGAGCUAUAAACUAUAAUUGACAAAGACUUCAGUUGAACAGAAGGUCUUCUAUUUGCCAAGUACUGUGCUAGAUGCUUGAAACGGAAAACUCAGUUAAGUAUGAAUUUUUAAAAACUCAAAGAGUCGGAGAACUCUUUAAGUAUUAAAGGCAUUGAUGCAGGGGAUUAAUCAAUUCAAAAAUAAUGGAAGGCAAACCAAAAUGAAGAUCCUGGGCCACAAAGAACUAAGAUGCUGGCAGAAGAAAGGGGGCUGACCAAGAGUAAGGUGACUUCCCUGCUGAAGAAAGACUGUAAGUUCAGUUAACACCUUCACGAUGCUUGUCAGUUUUAGAUUUUUCUCUAAUAUGAUUACGAUAUUAAUUAUUGAGUAAACUCAGUUUUCAACUCUCAUGUCAUGGGGUGUCAACUCUCAUGUCUAUUAUUCUCACUAUUUCUGAUAACCAUAUAAAUUGCACUUGUAAAACAUUUAUACAGAAAUAUGUAUGUCACACUGCAGUUAAUUUUUUAAACCUUUAGAACUAAAAAAAAAAGUAUUUAUUUAUUUAUUCUUGCUUUUUAGGGCUGCACCCAUGGCUUAUGGAAGUUCUCAGGCUAGGGGUCGAAUCAGAGCUACAGCUGCUGGCCUAUGCCACAGCCACAGCACCAGGGAAUCAAAGCCACAUCUGCGGCCAACACUGCAGGUCAUGGCAAUGCCGGAUCCCUGACCCAGAACAAGGCCAAGGACUGAAUCCACAUCCUCAUGGACACUAGUUGGAUUUGUUUCCAAUGCACCGCAAUGGGAACUCCCUAAAAAAAUUUUAAAAGAACUAUUUUAUAGAUGUAUAUACCCUAAGCCUACUCAUUUUCCUUCUAAGAAGAUACUUUAAAGAAAGAUUUUGGGUGUUCCCGACAUGACUCAGCAGUAAUGAACCCAACUAGGAUACAUGAGUAUGUGGGUUUGAUCCCUAGCCUCACUCAGUGGGUUAAGGAUCCAGCAUUGCCAUGAGCUGUGGUGUAGGCCACAGUCUCAGCUCGGAUCUGGCACUGCUGUGGCUUCCACAUACAUCACUUUCUCUGAAAACUCUUUUGUCUCUAUAGCUGGCCAAGAGGGUCUUUGCUUAGAGACAUGUGGUUAAACUUAUAAUAAAGAUUUCAGCUCAGGAAGAAAUAGCCUUUUUGGACCUGGUCCUCUCCAGCCACAAGACACCAUUUCAUGUAUAAAACUCCUGAUAACAAUGAGUCUGAUUUGUCUCUUUUAUAUUUAACAUAAAAAGCAGCCUUCUGGUUAUCAUUUAACAAAGUGCAGAUAUGCUUUGUAACCAAUUAAACACAUAUAAAGGACAGAAGAUAUAGACCUGGAGCUACUGUUUCUAAUCAGUUUAAAUAUAUGCAACCAAUAGCUAUAUCUUCAAUAUACCUGUCUUUGUUUUACAUAUUCCGCUGCUUAUGAUUUGCACCACAAAACACAAAGAGCCCAGCAAUACAAGAAACCCAGCAAAUGUGCAGACAGCAAUUCCCAGCAGGGGCCUCAGCCUCUCACAGCAUGAGGCUCUGCCUCUCAGUGAUGUGAAAAGCCUGUCACAGACUGACUUUCCAGCUGAUGCUGCAGCCUUCUUACAUUCUGGAUAAGCAAUUUCUAUACUGUUAUUUUCUCACAUGAAUUUCACAAAUGGUUCAUAUCAAUUUGGCACAACCUAGUCAUCUGAAAUUUCCAAAGAAAUGACAUUUCUAUCCCUGGAAAGAUGAAAUAAAU